Molecule: non-coding RNA, 89 nt
Organism: Mycena leptocephala
Lineage: Eukaryota; Fungi; Basidiomycota; Agaricomycetes; Agaricales; Mycenaceae
Source: the annotation of a GenBank genome assembly
UCGGGUGUGGCGCAUGGUGCACGGUGGCUUUCAAUGAUGGUAACUUGUACGAUUAGGCCGCAGCCGGGGUUCGACUCCCCGCACUCGAA